UCCUCCCAGCCGAACACAUCACACGCACACAACACACACACGCAUGGAAGGAGAAAAGAAAACCCUCUCUUUCUCUCUCUAAAUCUCUCCAAAAAUUAAAGGAAUUGGCGGAGGUUGAAGCUCGGGAGUGAAUCACCAUUGUCUUCUUCAUCUUUUCCAUGAUUUGGAGCUAAUUUUGAGGUAACGAAACGCGUUUGCGAAGACGGUUCGGCAAUCCGACGAGCCGUUACGAAGUUAUUAAAGAAACGGACAUUUAGGCUUCGGGUCCGCCGGGAGGGGCGAGGCGACGUCGUAAAAUCAUGGAAAUGGAUUUGAGGCACCGUGUUAGCGUGGCGAAGAGCUUCUGCACUUGAAACAGCGAAGCGGCGCACUCUUGGACCGCAAUUGUGAGAUCGGGCCCAAACGGGGCCGGGCGCCGCGGGAGGCCGAUUGCAAAUAUCGACAAGCAAUCGGAACGCGUGUUAAGGUUCGUACGUGAGCGGCGCGGCGGCGCGAGGAAAGGGCGUAGCUCCGUAGAUAGCGCCCUACCCCGGAGACCAGAGCUAGCAGAACCCCGUCUACAAAGCUUAGGGGUAAAGGAAAUGAAAAGAAAGUAAAUGUAUCAAAUUGUAAUAAGUAAACGAUGUACUACUUAGAUUGUAUUUGGAAGUUAA
This is a long non-coding RNA of Ananas comosus (pineapple), 653 nucleotides long. RefSeq lists it as uncharacterized. NCBI's taxonomy places the organism in Eukaryota, Viridiplantae, Streptophyta, Magnoliopsida, Poales, Bromeliaceae. The transcript has 3 exons. The record is from RefSeq and is a predicted model, not a curated record.